GACGUAGGGGGCGAGCGUUGUCCGGAAUUACUGGGCGUAAAGGGCGCGUAGGCGGCCACUUAAGUCAGGUGUAAAAAACCCGGGCUCAACCCGGGGGAUGCACAUGAAACUGGGUGGCUAGAGGGCAGGAGAGGGGAGUGGAAUUCCCGGUGUAGCGGUGAAAUGCGUAGAUAUCGGGAGGAAUACCUGUGGCGAAGGCGACUCUCUGGACUGACCCUGACGCUGAGGCUCGAAAGCGUGGGGAGCAAACAGG
RNAcentral lists this ribosomal RNA (253 nucleotides) under uncultured bacterium. Its description in RNAcentral is "partial 16S ribosomal RNA". It matches the Rfam family "Bacterial small subunit ribosomal RNA", at positions 524 to 776 of the family's 1533-position model. The record is from RNAcentral.